UUAUUUAGCACCCUGAUAAAGAAAGAAAAACCCUAGAAUGUUUCUCUCUCUCUCUCUCUUUGUUUUUGUUUUUUUCAGAUAUUGUACGAGUUGCAACAUAUAAAUAAACACACCACUGAUUUGAUCUUUUUAAAAUUAAAUACAAAAGCAAGUUAAAUUUUUGACAGUAGAUUAGUGAAUCCCCUCCUGGGGGAAAAAGACACAACUUGCAUUAGCAGAACUUUGCUUCAAACGCAUUGGAAUGAUACAUAGCAUUUGUGAUAUCUCAAUAGCUGAUUUGCAGAUACUAGAGAAAGCUUUUUCUGGGGUAGCCUUUUUAUCAUUAAACCAGAGUCUGUGGAGAAAGGUCUCUUAUAAAUAAGGUCCAGAGCUCGCGUUUUCAAAGCUAAGUCUAACCGGGAUCCAUGAGUACAGCUGUGUUAACAGAAAGAGAGACAAAAGGAAACCCAGGCAACUGACUGAUGUGGUCUGCAGCAGGGCAAGCUUCCUCUCCCUCACCAGAGGUGGUGUUUACAGAACUGAAUGGACUUGAAGUUCAAGUUUGCAAGAAGAUCUUUGUGCCUUAGUUUCUAUACUGCAGUUCUUUUGUUUGUUUGGGAAUCCCAGCUCUGUUCCCUCUGUCUGCUUAUUGCCAAAGCUUCACUGCCCUCAGAAAGGGUCAUCGUCAAGCACAGUCAUGCAAGAAGAGGUGUUGCAGUGGCCAAGGUAACGAAAUACGCAGUCAAAGUAUUGCAGCAAUCAGAGCUUAAAAACUGUUUCAUUAUGAUUUUUUUAUUUCUGUUCUCCAUAUCCCUGUGA
Molecule: long non-coding RNA, 798 nt
Filed under: Struthio camelus australis
Lineage: Eukaryota; Metazoa; Chordata; Aves; Struthioniformes; Struthionidae
Description: lncRNA (ENSSCUG00000017139.1)
Source: RNAcentral